UGGAGGGAUGGGUGCAAGCCUCGCUGGAUGUCGGCUCUCUGAGCUGGUGAGUAGCUUGUGUGGGAAACCGGCUUAGCAGUCUUGUUCUCUCGAGUGUGGGGGCCAUUAUGUUCGCCCGUGCAGUGUGGUGUUGUUUCCCGCCCUUGGGUUCGACAAUGUUUGCGGGGUCUGGUUGCCUUUCUGGGUGCUUGUAGUGGUAGCCU
Non-coding RNA from Pelobates cultripes (western spadefoot toad), 203 nucleotides. The record is from the annotation of a GenBank genome assembly. Lineage: Eukaryota; Metazoa; Chordata; Amphibia; Anura; Pelobatidae.